GAUGAAGAACGCAGCGAAAUGCGAUAAGUAGUGUGAAUUGCAGAAUUACCUGAAUCAUCGAAUCUUUGAACGCACAUUGCGCCCCCUGGUAUUCCUGGGGGCAUGCCUGUUCGAGCGUCAUUAACAACCAAUCGGGCGGGGCUUUUGCAUGCUCCCGCUCGGCCAUGGGGGAUGGACGUCGUCGGACGCCCACCCCCGAAAUGCAACGGCGGACGGCCACCCGUGGCACUGCGGCGUAGUAAGUUAACCCUUCGCGCGCGCCCACGGAGUGGACUGCCCGGCCGCUUGAACCCCCACACAUCCUACGGUUGACCUCGGAUCAGGUAGGGAUACCCGCUGAACUUAAGCAUAUCAAUAAGCGGAGGA
RNAcentral lists this unclassified non-coding RNA (366 nucleotides) under soil metagenome. Its description in RNAcentral is "partial contains 5.8S ribosomal RNA, internal transcribed spacer 2, and large subunit ribosomal RNA". The stretch from base 1 to 120 matches the Rfam family "5.8S ribosomal RNA", at positions 35 to 154 of the family's 154-position model. The record is from RNAcentral.